AGCAAGGACAAGUGCCAGAGCCCUGCCCCUAGUGGGGGGACCUGAGGCAUUAUGGGGACAUCUCAUAUGACUCAAUGACUGCACAGUGAGCUGUAGCCCUGACAACAAUGUGACAAGUCUGAUUCAUAGCAUGACUUUGUGACUGGAACAUGGGUACUGCAGGUGCUUGUCCAAGCUCAGAGACCACCUGAUGCUGGCAUGAAACAAUUCUGGGAUUUCGCUGGGACUCAGAUCAUGCAGAGGACCUUCAAUUUUAUUGGCAGAAAGCAGUCCUGAUAAGGAAAAUUCUUCUACCAUUGCAGAAGAAUCCUUAUCUUCCGAAGCUCAGACACCUCCUCAAGGUGAUCAUCAAGAAAGCAGGAGGAUGCUCCCACAAUUAACUAAUUAACCAGCGGAGGAGAAGAGAGUAUAGUAUACUCCUUUACCACCUGAUGAAAUAUGGAAAAUAUGUAAUUUACUACUCCACCUUCCACCAGCCACCACGCUCUCCCAAA
Molecule: non-coding RNA, 494 nt
Organism: Phascolarctos cinereus (koala)
Lineage: Eukaryota; Metazoa; Chordata; Mammalia; Diprotodontia; Phascolarctidae
Source: RefSeq, a predicted model, not a curated record